CAGUCGCCACGGGAAUACAGAGGGUGCGAGCGUUAAUCGGAUUUACUGGGCGUAAAGCGUGCGUAGGCGGCUAAUUGAGUCGGAUGUGAAAUCCCCGAGCUUAACUUGGGAAUUGCAUUCGAUACUGGUUAGCUAGAGUGUGGGAGAGGAUGGUAGAAUUCCAGGUGUAGCGGUGAAAUGCGUAGAGAUCUGGAGGAAUACCGAUGGCGAAGGCAGCCAUCUGGCCUAACACUGACGCUGAGGUACGAAAGCAUGGGGAGCAAACAGGAUUAGAUACCCGAGUAGUCCCUGUCUCUUAUAC
RNAcentral lists this ribosomal RNA (301 nucleotides) under uncultured bacterium. Its description in RNAcentral is "partial 16S ribosomal RNA". It matches the Rfam family "Bacterial small subunit ribosomal RNA", at positions 509 to 807 of the family's 1533-position model. The record is from RNAcentral.